GAAUUUUGAUUUUUCUGGAGUAGCUAUAAAACAGGUCUUCAAUAACAAAAAUGCAAAUAUUAUUUUGGUAAGUGUUGAGUCCCAACAGGAAACAAAGGACACUCUAUCUAUUUAUAAAGACACCCUUGGUAAAGGUCUGUGUAGUAUGUUGGAGAUAUUAAUGAAUACAGCAAGAACCCUGGUCUAGCAGCAGUAGGGAUGCCCUCUAAUCCUAUCCCAGGAGAAUGAAAAGUGGAUAUUCUACUGGUGUAGAAAAGGAGAAAGAAUUGUGUAGGGCAAGUUGCCUAGGAGAACACAGUAAUCCUGAGACAACCUACCAGAACAUGGGACCUAAAUGAAUAAAUGCGUAAACUCACUUAUUCUUCUCUCCAAUCUUCUCCCAGUAUCCCCACUGGCUCAUCCAAGGAGCAUUCGUAUGUGUCAUUGGCUUGUUAAUAGAAUCUGGGAGAUCAACCUUUUGGGGCAGAGAGCAAAGUGGAAAAGGCUGAGAGUACAUCUGGAAGAGCAUAUGGCUGGUAUCUGGUUCAGGAAUUCAAUACAUCUAGCUUUCCAGUUCCUCUGUGGAAUACUUCAUCAUCUGGCAUAUGACCUCAGACCAUCUCCCAGUCCUCAUCAUCUGGGCUUUGUCUUCAGACCAGAUUCCAGGGUGCCAUACUUCCAGGUGUCAGACCAAGACACAGUGGUGCCAAAGGAAAGAGACAAUGUCUGCUUCUUUGAGAACACCUUGCCCAGGAUCUGGACCCAGGCUUAGCACUCAGCUUGCAUUGGCGAAAAUUAUAUCACAAAUCUACACUUAGGCCAAUUGUCAAGGGUAAGGUAAUGACUGAGACUGGCUUAUAAAAUUUAGGAUCCAUGCCUUGGGACUGCAGAUUGUUCUAGACUUCUCAGAAAUGUCAGGAUCAUAGUGGAUCCAGGAACAACAUGACAGUUCUAUAAAGAAGGAGAGAGGGCAUACAGAUAGACAGGGAAGCAACCACCAGUGUCUCCUAUACAAGAGUACGAGGAGGAAACCAGUGUUUUCCUUGACUUGAAAUAUUCUAUCACAUUUGAAUAUUCUCCAAAUGGGAUAGUGUCAUAUUUUUCAAAUAUACAGUAUACUUUUGGGUGAUUAAAUGAAGUGGAUAAAUUACAUCACCACCUACCCACCCUUGUCCUUUCUGUUACCUCUAGCUCCUGUCUUCCCAAGCUCCUGGAUUUGCAAUGUCUUAUUACCUUCUCGAUUUUCUUCUAUAUCUGAACUUACCAAGCCAGUAUUCUCAUCCUCUCUGUAGGGAGGUAUUGAGGUACUUGAAGGUGUUCAUUUGGCUUAAUAGGGUACCUCUCUCAGAUAUGUUUGAAGUUUAAGAGCCAUUUGUAAUAUUGGUAGGACAAAAUAAGAAGGAAGAGGAAGGGGAGGAGAAUUAUGGUAGAAAUUGUAGGUCAUAAAACAGACUGAUGGUGGAGAUAUUUUGAGUAAAAGAUAUCUCUUUUCUUCUGCAAAUAAUUUACACAGGCCCUGAUUUUGCUUAAAAUCAUGGCUUUCAUAUGUAGCAAAGGUUACUCUUAGCCCACAACAAAUAAAUGCUUUGCAAUUAUAGAACAGUUAGCUCUGAUAAGGUGAAAGCAAUUUGUAAAGCUUUGUCACAAUAUUAAAGUCUCUAGCCUAGUAUUCUGUCCAUUGUAGUUCAGUUAAUAUGACUACAUAAAACCUACACAUGUAGGUAAGUCGCUGU
This 1712-nucleotide long non-coding RNA is filed under the name Canis lupus familiaris (dog). Its description in RNAcentral is "lncRNA (ENSCAFG00000054901.1)". Lineage: Eukaryota; Metazoa; Chordata; Mammalia; Carnivora; Canidae. The record is from RNAcentral.